ACACCACUCUUAGGAGGAGGAGGAGGUGGACGAGGACCAGGUUUAGCACCAUGUGGUGCUGGUGGUGGAGGGGGGGGAGGACCAGGUUUGGCACCAGGUGGUGCAGGGGGUGGUGGAGGACUAGGUUUGGCACCAGGCGGAGCAAGGGGUGGUGGAGGACUAGGUUUGGCACCAGACAGAGCAGGGGGUAGCGGAGGACGAAGAGCAGCAGGUUUGGCACCGGCUAGUGUUAAAUGUGGGGAAGGAGUAGUAGGAGGUCGAGCACUGCCAACACCAGAUUGUCGAGGAGGAGGAGUUGCAGCAGCAGUAGAUACGGCAUUAUUACUAGAAGGCCUAAAUGAAGGUGGCUCAGGGGGGAGAGGAUUCAUUCUUCCUGGAGGAGGUCUUAAAGGUGGCAUUCCAGAAUGGAUAGUUCCCACUCUUCCAAGAGGAGGUGUCAAUUCAAAUGGUAAUCCAGCAGCAGUAUGAGCUCCUAUUGAUUGAUUUUCUUGCACCGAGGUCUUCUUGUUGUCUCCUAAAUUAUUACUUGAUGACUGAAACCCAUGUUUCUCCCCUUUUGUCGAAUUUCCAAAAGCAUGAUUGGAAGGAC
RNAcentral lists this long non-coding RNA (589 nucleotides) under Trifolium pratense (red clover). Its description in RNAcentral is "long non-coding RNA (TPRA_LNC001101)". Lineage: Eukaryota; Viridiplantae; Streptophyta; Magnoliopsida; Fabales; Fabaceae. The record is from RNAcentral.